This 227-nucleotide long non-coding RNA is filed under the name Elaeis guineensis (African oil palm). RNAcentral describes it as "long non-coding RNA (EGUI_LNC043464)". The record is from RNAcentral. Lineage: Eukaryota; Viridiplantae; Streptophyta; Magnoliopsida; Arecales; Arecaceae.
UCUUCAGCCUCCAAGAACCUCACUGACUUUCUUCUCUGUGGCAACCUCAUUUUGGAGGCCAUUGUCCCAAAGAGAGUAGAAGAGCUGAUCAAGAGAAUGGAGAAGGGUGAAGGAUGGAUAGAAAUGAGGAGAAGAAAAGAAUUUUGGGGUGAUUGUCACAGAUUUUAGAAAUUAGGGCUUGAGAUUUUGAUGGAGAGCAAGAGGGAGACGUUUUGAUCAAGGAUAUG